This is a long non-coding RNA of Cyprinus carpio carpio, 709 nucleotides long. NCBI's taxonomy places the organism in Eukaryota, Metazoa, Chordata, Actinopteri, Cypriniformes, Cyprinidae. The record is from Ensembl.
GAGGAGGGCAGCAAUACGCCUUUGAAGCGUCCAAGCUGCCGCAAAUCACACAGAAGAAAAUCGCGCCCGCGAACGCAUCGAUCAGAAUGAGAGCGCGCCCAUCAAUGAGCUUCAUCCGGCUGCAGUGCUAUACGGGACUUGCUCGGGAAGAAUGUCUCCAAAGAAGCGUGUUUUUUUUGGUUGUAAGGGAAAGAUAACUUGUUCAGCUUCCCAAGGAACCCAGCGUUAUGUAAACGGUGGAUAAAGUUGUUUUCCGGGGCAGCAACGGAGUUUCACGAGUUUUGUUGUUGACGAACGUUUAUAAACAAGACCCAGGUCGACGCUGGAUUUGCACAUCGUUUGAUACCGAAGAUGGAGUGGUCCCAGUUAUAAAAGAUCCCGGUCGUGACUCAGACGAGAUUCAGAUGGACUCUUUGCUGGUCUUUGAAGCAUCCAAGUACACUCCUGGGUACAUUUCACACUCUCUAAUACAUUUUUGAGGUAAAUGCAUUCAUAGCAGGAGGUUAGGACUGAUGAAUGCAGGGUCAAAGAAGCAGGGCGGGGCUUCAUGUACUGUACAGCAUCGUCCUUUAUCCCACACUCUCCAUCCUUUCACAUAAUGAGGCCCAGGGGCUGGUAAAAUGUAAAUACAGCAAUUACAACUUUGGAGCUCUGGCCCAAGGGGUUGCCCUCUACACAGAGCGCUGAACGGUGGGUGAGUUUGACUGCG